Molecule: long non-coding RNA, 448 nt
Organism: Aquila chrysaetos chrysaetos
Lineage: Eukaryota; Metazoa; Chordata; Aves; Accipitriformes; Accipitridae
Exons: 3
Source: RefSeq, a predicted model, not a curated record
UGCUAAUACUUGUUAGUACCAGCCGUCAUGUAGCCAAGCUGCUGUGCAGCAUUCCCCAGUCAAUGCUGCUCAGGCUCCUCACGUACACCCCUCCGCUUACUCCUUGUCAGCGGACUGGGGGGAAUUCGCUAACGAUUGUGAGAAAGAGAAACGGUCACUAAGCUUAAGACUCAGGUAGCUGUCACAGCGACUUUUACAAACCCUGUGUGACUCAAAAGUUUUGCCAAACCCAAAAGAGCCAGAAGAUGACUGUGGAACCGAAGCUUGGCAUUCCAGGAGGAAUCUCCACCAACCUGACUCGAGCUCAGCGUGGAACUGCGGUACCUAAACAAGACUAGAAGUUUGUCUUGUAAGAUUGACAAUACUGAUGACUACAGCUACAUCAACUACAGCUGCGACAUCAGCUACAACUACAUCAUUGUUUUAUAUACUGUACCAGCACAGGCCA